ACACCAGCUGAAGGAGACUGUGCCCAUGCUGGACCACCACCCUGACCCUGUCUCCUGACAGCAGAGGGGCUGGAAAACAAGCCGAAAUAUGUCGAUCAAUGGCAGAAAUACAUCGUUCACUUGUGGCCAUUAACAACACUUUAAGGGAACAUGCCGACUUAUUGGGACUUUACCUUAUUCACCGUAUCCCCCAGAGUUAGACAAGUCGAUUCAUACCUUUCUCAUCUCAGUGCGUUCUGUAAA
Molecule: long non-coding RNA, 243 nt
Organism: Etheostoma cragini (Arkansas darter)
Lineage: Eukaryota; Metazoa; Chordata; Actinopteri; Perciformes; Percidae
Exons: 3
Source: RefSeq, a predicted model, not a curated record